AAUAGAUGUGUUGAUGUCACGGAGUGACUUUGUAAGGGCGGAACUAAAAAAUGACGGAGAUUGGUUCCGCCCGGACCAUAAUUCUCAAACACCGGGAACUCCGGGAAGGGAAAUCAGGGUUUUAUUGAUCGCAGGUGGAUAGAUGAACGGGGCGAUCGUGGAUUGGGCAGUAUGAAGAGAAGGAGGAGUAUAAAGAGGGCCUCAGAAACUGCAGAGGAGGGGGAAAUUCUUUGUUUUAUUUCAGCCGAUACGGCGAGAGAGUUGGAGUGUUUGGGCGAGUACAGAGGAAAGAAGGCAGAGGAUAUUGUUGGCUGGGCAAAGACGGAGACAAGGGUUUGGCAGAAACAGACACCGGGCUGAGUAUAUUGGAAUGUCUACUUAACUGUGAAAUGCUCCAUGGACAUGUGUAACAAAUUCUGAGUGGUUGAAAACAGGAAGACUCACCGGAAGUAUCGCCGAAGGAGGCCUUUUCGACAGGGCACGUGGCAGCAGGAGAAGUAUCCAGGAGCUGGAAAGAAGAGGGAAAAGAGACCUCGUGUAGUAACGGUGUGAGUACCCUAAACCAUCGUACAGCAGUAUAAUCAUCUAGAGUGAACCAUCUGUGAGCGUUUUGUGAGUUUGUGGCAUAGUAUGUGAGCGGCCCCACCGUGGAGGAGGAUUGUGGGUGAGCCCGGACCAGUGAGCGAGAGAGGAUGUUGGGCUGUUGUGGCGGCAACGUUUAAAUCUGAAUAUUCGUGGCCUCAGUGUCUUCACGACUUCCAGGAAGAGUCUUUGGUCAGACGGGGUGUUGACCCUAAAUUUACCAGAGUGUGUGGAGUGCAGUGGGUGAGUCUUUGUCCUUUGCUGUGAGUGUAUACACUUGAAAAUUGCAGUGUUGUGCUGUGUUGUGUCGUCAACAACCACCUUUCAGGCCCGACGAAAUCCUGUGAAGGAAGUGAAUACCGAGGCGGGCGAAGAAAACAUCUCCAAUUAUAUGCCGUCGAUGACAUCCUGACCCUUCUUCCCCACGUGACGGUGGUGGGAAACAAUUUCAAAUCUCUUGACUUGUCGGUUGGUAGAAAGAAGAGGGAAGCGUUCGACCCAUCCAGUGUAGUACACCCCGGGUGAGACAACUUACCUGUGUGUGACGCCAGCGGAGGCCGUGUUCGGCCCAACGCAACAGUUUUCGAUCCGCCUCUCUAUCAGCAGUUGGUAGAAGCCUCAGAAAAGGAACGUCUGACGUCUAUUCCCUCGAAGGUCUGUGAGUUACAUCACUUCCUGUUUCCCUGUAUAUUCACCGUAAGCGUAUGCCCAAAGCUAAAGUCAGCAUAUUGUGUUGUACACCCACCUGUCUGCCCAGAGUAAAGUCCCAGUUAUAUUGGAUGUACUUACCUUAUGCCCAAAGCUAAAGCCAGCAUAUUGUGUUGCACACUCGCGUGUAUGCCCAAGUGAAGUCCCAGUUACAUUUGAUGUACUUACCUUAUGCCCAAAGCUAAAGCCAGCAUAUUGUGUUGUACACUCGCCUGUAUGCCCAGAGUGAAGUCCCAGUUAUAUUGGAUGUACUUACCUUAUGCCCAAAGCUAAAGCCAGCAUAUUGUGUUGUACACUCGCCUGUCUGCCCAAGUGAAACCCCAGUUGUCUUUCCUACGGACUUACUUGUGCCCCCGAGUGAAGAGCCAGCGGCCCCUCUGUCCACUAUCCGUGUC
Cyprinus carpio carpio is the source of this 1685-nucleotide long non-coding RNA. The record is from Ensembl. NCBI's taxonomy places the organism in Eukaryota, Metazoa, Chordata, Actinopteri, Cypriniformes, Cyprinidae.